RNAcentral lists this ribosomal RNA (274 nucleotides) under uncultured bacterium. RNAcentral's name for it is "partial 16S ribosomal RNA". It matches the Rfam family "Bacterial small subunit ribosomal RNA", at positions 523 to 796 of the family's 1533-position model. The record is from RNAcentral.
AUACGUAGGGUGCGAGCGUUGUUCGGAAUUACUGGGCGUAAAGAGCGCGUAGGCGGUUAGGAAAGUCAGAGGUGAAAGCCCGGAGCUCAACUCCGGAGGGCCCUUUGAAACUUCCUGACUCGAGUAUAGGAGAGGUAAGCGGAAUUCCUGGUGUAGCAGUGAAAUGCGUAGAUAUCAGGAGGAACAUCAGUGGCGAAGGCGGCUUCCUGGACCAAAACUGACACUGAGGUACGAAAGCGUGGGGAGCAAACAGGAUUAGAAACCCCGGUAGUCC